UGGGUACUAAACCAAUCACCAGCUUCAUCUUCUCUUCAGCUGCAUAUCUCUGGUUCCUGGGAGCAGGUUGAUCCAGAACUGCUCUACAAGCAUCUCCUGUGGAUGAUUCUACUUCCUUAUGAGCUUGCCACAGUAGGACAAGAGAAUUUCUGGUGACAGUUUGGUGAUUGAGAAUUUGUCAACUUCUACUGCACUUUGGCUUUGAAUUUAUCCAACUUCCUCAUAAAGUUUCCUUUGUAAAUGCUGCCAGCUGGAAUUGCCACCUCAUGGCCUUUUUACCAUUAGUUCUGUGCUAUUAUAUGAAAAGAAUUUAAUGGCAACUCUGUCAUUGACUUCAGCAGUAUUAGAAUAAAGCUACUUACAAGGAUCCCACCAAGAUACUGAAAGGUUACCCCAAAGCCUUUCCUUUUCCAGGCUGAACUAUCCCAAUUUGUUUGGAAAGAAGCCAAGUCAUCUUUUAAUGUUUUUGGGGUUUUUUUAUUGUUUGCUAUAUCUGCUGCAUUUGCCUGCUAUGCAGCCUGGAAGCAGAGCCCAGGACCUGCCUAUGUGCAGUACAAAUGGCCAAGUCACCCAACUUGGUGUCACCAACUUCUGCUGAAGAAAUAAGAGAAAAAGAAAAAAAAAAAAAAAAACUAAGGAAAUGG
Molecule: long non-coding RNA, 644 nt
Organism: Passer domesticus (house sparrow)
Lineage: Eukaryota; Metazoa; Chordata; Aves; Passeriformes; Passeridae
Exons: 3
Source: RefSeq, a predicted model, not a curated record